Molecule: ribosomal RNA, 269 nt
Filed under: unidentified archaeon
Lineage: Archaea
Description: 16S ribosomal RNA
Rfam family: Archaeal small subunit ribosomal RNA
Source: RNAcentral
ACCCGCGUCCUCUGUUGCUACUAGCCUUGUGCUGGGCCACACUGAGGAGCCACCACUGAUAAAGUGGAGGAAGGAGCGGGCCACGGCAGGUCAGUAUGCCCCGAAUCUCCCGGGCCACACGCGAGUGCAAUGGCAGGUAACAAUGGGUUCCGACCUCGAAAGGGGAAGGCAAUCUCGAAAGCCUGCCGUAGUUGGGAUGCAGGGCUGAAACCCGCCCUCGUGAACAUGGAAUCCCUAGUAAUCGCGUGUCAUUAGCGCGCGGCGAAUAC